GACGAACCGUGCGAACGUUGUUCGGAUUCACUGGGCUUAAAGGGCGCGUAGGCGGCUUGCCAAGUCAGGGGUGAAAUCUUUCGGCUUAACCGGAAAAGUGCUUCUGAUACUGGCGAGCUGGAGGGAGGUAGGGGCGGACGGAACUUCCGGUGGAGCGGUGAAAUGCGUAGAUAUCGGAAGGAACGCCGGUGGCGAAAGCGGUCCGCUGGAUCUCUUCUGACGCUGAGGCGCGAAAGCCAGGGGAGCAAACGGG
This 253-nucleotide ribosomal RNA is filed under the name uncultured bacterium. RNAcentral's name for it is "partial 16S ribosomal RNA". It matches the Rfam family "Bacterial small subunit ribosomal RNA", at positions 524 to 776 of the family's 1533-position model. The record is from RNAcentral.